UGCAGAAUCCCGUGAACCAUCGAGUCUUUGAACGCAAGUUGCGCCCGAAGCCGCUAGGCCUAGGGCACGCCUGCCUGGGCGUCA
This 84-nucleotide ribosomal RNA is filed under the name Crataegus rhodamae-loveae. RNAcentral's name for it is "partial 5.8S ribosomal RNA". It matches the Rfam family "5.8S ribosomal RNA", at positions 73 to 154 of the family's 154-position model. From Rfam's summary of the family: 5.8S ribosomal RNA (5.8S rRNA) is a component of the large subunit of the eukaryotic ribosome. It is transcribed by RNA polymerase I as part of the 45S precursor that also contains 18S and 28S rRNA. The record is from RNAcentral. Lineage: Eukaryota; Viridiplantae; Streptophyta; Magnoliopsida; Rosales; Rosaceae.